Amphimedon queenslandica is the source of this 462-nucleotide long non-coding RNA. RefSeq lists it as uncharacterized. The transcript is spliced from 3 exons. The record is from RefSeq and is a predicted model, not a curated record. Lineage: Eukaryota; Metazoa; Porifera; Demospongiae; Haplosclerida; Niphatidae.
CAUGUAGUUCUUUUCUUUGUAGCAUUUCAAGUUAUUAUUUCAUAAAUAUUUACUACAUGAAGGAGAGCUCUCCUGGCAUCAGUACAGCUCAGCUAUUCGUCAAAUAAUGCCUCAUUCCUGGACUGAUGAUUUUGAUACAAAGUUAGAGUUAGCACAAUUUAAUAAAGAUAAGAAGAAAUCAGAUGAACCAGGAGUUACUGAUCAUAUUAGCAAAGGGAAGCCUCUGAAUUAAGGAGGAGACUGAGAGAAGAGAGAGCUACAAGGUUACAGGUUAAAGUCCAGCUGAUGCAAGAAAAUCUCCGCACACAAGAAACUCGUGAAUAUACUGUACCUUUAUUAUUAGUGGGUGUGGCUUUAAUAGUAGUUAGUUACUCUGUGUAUCACUUGUGGGUGUGGUUAUUAAUAUUUAUAAUGGUUAAUUAACUAGUUAUAUUAUAUACUGCACUAUCUGAAUUAAAAUUA